CUGCGUGAAGUCGGAAUCGCUAGUAAUCGCGGAUCAGCAUGCCGCGGUGAAUACGUUCCCGGGCCUUGUACACACCGCCCGUCACACCAUGAGAGUCGGGAACACCCGAAGUCCGUAGCCUAACCGCAAGGAGGGCGCGGCCGAAGGUGGGUUCGAUAAUUGGGGUGAAGUCGUAACAAGGUACC
This 185-nucleotide ribosomal RNA is filed under the name uncultured bacterium. RNAcentral describes it as "partial 16S ribosomal RNA". It matches the Rfam family "Bacterial small subunit ribosomal RNA", at positions 1316 to 1500 of the family's 1533-position model. The record is from RNAcentral.